CCUACGGGAGGCAGCAGUAGGGAAUCUUUCACAAUGGGCGAAAGCCUGAUGGAGCAACGCCGCGUGCAGGAUGAAGGCCUUCGGGUUGUAAACUGCUUUUAUAAGCGAGAAAUAUGAUGGUAACUUAUGAAUAAGGAUCGGCUAACUACGUGCCAGCAGCCGCGGUCAUACGUAGGAUCCGAGCAUUAUCCGGAGUGACUGGGUGUAAAGAGUUGCGUAGGUGGCAUAAUAAGUAGCUGGUGAAAUCUGGUGGCUCAAACAUUCAGACUAUUAGCUAAACUGUUAAGCUCGAGACCGUUAGGGGUAACUGGAAUUUCUAGUGUAGGAGUGAAAUCCGUAGAUAUUAGAAGGAACACCAAUAGCGUAGGCAGGUUGCUGGGACGGUUCUGACACUAAGGCACGAAAGCGUAGGGAGCAAACGGGAUUAGAUACCCCAGUAGUC
This 442-nucleotide ribosomal RNA is filed under the name uncultured bacterium. Its description in RNAcentral is "partial 16S ribosomal RNA". It matches the Rfam family "Bacterial small subunit ribosomal RNA", at positions 338 to 795 of the family's 1533-position model. The record is from RNAcentral.